ACUCCUACGGGAGGCCGCAGUGGGGAAUAUUGGACAAAGGGCGCAAGCCUGAUCCAGCCAUGCCGCGUGAGUGAUGAAGGCCCUAGGGUUGUAAAGCUCUUUCACCGGUGAAGAUAAUGACGGUAACCGGAGAAGAAGCCCCGGCUAACUUCGUGCCAGCAGCCGCGGUAAUACGAAGGGGGCUAGCGUUGUUCGGAUUUACUGGGCGUAAAGCGCACGUAGGCGGACUAUUAAGUCAGGGGUGAAAUCCCGGGGCUCAACCCCGGAACUGCCUUUGAUACUGGUAGUCUUGAGUUCGAGAGAGGUGAGUGGAAUUCCGAGUGUAGAGGUGAAAUUCGUAGAUAUUCGGAGGAACACCAGUGGCGAAGGCGGCUCACUGGCUCGAUACUGACGCUGAGGUGCAAAAGCGUGGGGAGCAAACAGGAUUAGAUACCCCUGUAGUCCCAU
Molecule: ribosomal RNA, 447 nt
Filed under: uncultured organism
Description: partial 16S ribosomal RNA
Rfam family: Bacterial small subunit ribosomal RNA
Source: RNAcentral